CUGUCCUUGGAUGGUCAUUCUUGUUGAGUGAUAACCAGGGCAGCUCCAUUGUAUAAACAAAUUGAUCUGGUGAUAAGAGAUGAUGGGUAGGUUAUAUGAUCGAGAAAAGGCGAAUCUGAGUCCACUAUGCAAUAAAACUGCAGCUACCUCCCCUAAUGUGUGUAGUAUUGAAGGCAAAAGAGAACUUUUAAUGUCUUGCUACUUUAAAAUUCCAAAAUGGUGAAUUCUUCCUUUGCUGGUUACUUAACCAUGAUUUUUUGUUUUGCUUUGGUUCUGGUUGAGAUACUAAAGGUUGUUUAUGUAUGAAAAUAAUAGACACUUGUAGUUUUGUAUGCCUCACCUGUAGCUUAGGAUCCAGUGUUGUAAUGUUUUGCCUGAGUAAAAAUAACUCUAAUCAAUAAUAGUGGUUCUAUCCUUCUGAUUUGAACUGGGAGAGGGCCACUCAUUCUUGAUCUUAAGGUGACCCCAUUUUUCUAUGCCUCAUGCUCAUGCUGCUCUAUGUUCCCUUUUAAAGAUUCUUGCUUGCAUUUUGGGUUGGUUUUCUGCUCUAUGUUCCCUUUUAGCAUUUCUUUCCGCUGUUGUUGCAUUCCCUUUUUUGUAUAUUACAUGUUCUUUUUGUAUCUCAUUCUGCAUGUAACAUAACUAAAUAAUACAUUGAUAUGAAAGGUUAUAUCUGAUAUCAUUGAGAGGAGCAGGCCAACAUCCCUACCUCCCUCUUCAACUCCCACCCAACACAAUUGUGGUGAGCUCCCCCUCUCAUCUACUUGCUAUUUGUACCUUCGGUUUUGGAUGCAUACAAAUUAUGUAUGCCAUGACUGAAACUCGAGCAGCAAAUUGUGCGUGUGUGUGCGUGUGCGCACGCACAUCACGUUUUUGUUUAAUUUUGGAUGGCUCAAACCGGCUGGAGCCAACUUUGUGUGCUUGUGAGUGCGCAUCCAUUGCAUGUAAAAAUCUUGUUUUUUCCAAACUCUUCUACUGUCGGAUGUGUAGAUAAAUUGCUUAUCUGGGCAGUUGUAGUACUCCAUGCCAUUACUAACUUUACCAUUACUUGCUUGGGCACAUCGUUGGGACCGGCACCCUCGCGCCAAGGCGCGUUGCCGAUCUAGAUGACGGUGGCUGGUCUGCAGGCUUUUAUUGUUGGGAACAGGAACUGGACUGUUCGUGUAUAUGUUUCGCCUUUGUGGCAGCAUCGUGGAACCACUGACAACGGUCCUAUCAAACACACUGACAUGGUUCUUUUGGAUGCCCAGUGUCGGUGUAAAGAAAGUGCCAGCAAGUGGUCUACAUAAGUCUGGACUGCGUAAACCUUUGUUUUCCGAUGGGUAUGCUCAGGGACUCGCAAAAGUGGAUGGCAGCUCCGGUGGUCCCGGUGAUGAACUUGCUACUACCUCGAGGUUUGAUGCAGGUUUUUGACAGUAUAUGCAUCAUCUCUUACUUCUUUCACAUAAUUUUCAUUUGUUAUUGAAGCAAAUCAACUGAAGACCUGGCAGCAGAUGAAGCCAAGCCCUCUGUGGCUAAAAGGGCCAAGUUUUAGAUCAAACGCCCUUAGGUAGCCUAUAGUUUUGGUGUGUCUGUGAUACGUCUCCAACGUAUCUAUAAUUUUUGAUUGCUCCAUGCUACUUUAUCUACUGUUUAGGCAAUAUUGGGCUUUAUUAUC
This is a long non-coding RNA of Triticum dicoccoides, 1657 nucleotides long. RefSeq lists it as uncharacterized. The transcript has 3 exons. The record is from RefSeq and is a predicted model, not a curated record. Lineage: Eukaryota; Viridiplantae; Streptophyta; Magnoliopsida; Poales; Poaceae.